This 739-nucleotide long non-coding RNA is filed under the name Ananas comosus (pineapple). Its description in RNAcentral is "long non-coding RNA (ACOM_LNC034139)". Lineage: Eukaryota; Viridiplantae; Streptophyta; Magnoliopsida; Poales; Bromeliaceae. The record is from RNAcentral.
UGAAGAACACUAUGAAAUCUACAUACACUAUAACAAAAAUGGUGUAUAGCGACACUUUUAAAUGUCGAUACAUAUUAAAAAAAGUGCUGCUAGCUAAAUUACCGACACUUUUAAAAAGUGUUGAUAUAUGUGGGGUUCUUAGGUAUAUAGUGACAGUUUAAGAGUGUCGGUGUAACCUAAAAAUAAUGCUGCUAAUUUACCAAUACUUAUUUAAGCAUUUAGCAAUCGUUGGCUGCGGCUUGGAGGAGGAGAAGAGCGAGGGGUUCUUUGUCUAGGGUUUCAGUGGAUUGAGUAAGGGGCGAAUGGGAGAUAGUGAUUGAUUUUUUUUUUCCUUUUUUGUUUGUAAUCGGGCCGAAUGGGCUGGGUGGAGUGGGUUGAGUAGAGUAACCUUUUAUUUUUUAUUAGAUUGGGCUUUGAAUUUAAGCAUUAGUAGAAUUUUUUAAAAAUUUUGACAUAAAUGGGACACUUACACAAAAGUGUCCCAAAAAUGUGUCGNGCGAAUGGGAGAUAGUGAUUGAUUUUUUUUUUCCUUUUUUGUUUGUAAUCGGGCCGAAUGGGCUGGGUGGAGUGGGUUGAGUAGAGUAACCUUUUAUUUUUUAUUAGAUUGGGCUUUGAAUUUAAGCAUUAGUAGAAUUUUUUAAAAAUUUUGACAUAAAUGGGACACUUACACAAAAGUGUCCCAAAAAUGUGUCGCUAUAACCUAAUUCUGUUGUAGUAAUAGAUCAUAAAAGUCUCGAGU